UGAACUAGAAAAGUAAACUCAACGAUGAAUAUUCUUACAGGAUUAAAACAAACUAAAAAUUAUUUCAGCAAUACAUAAGAAAAUCUCCGACAAGAAGUUUAUUAUUUGUUCCGUUAUUACACUUUCGCGAAACAAUAUGUCUUAAAACGUACAAUAAAGCUUCCAAAUAUUUUUCAGGUAGUAUCAGUAUUGUAAUUCUUAAAAUGUUGGAAAUAAUUAUUGGAAAAAAAAAGUCGUCUAGUACUGGCUCUUUACUUCGCACCUGUAACAAGUUGUUUGAUGACUAAAAAGGGUCUAGCGAAAUUACCCGCUGUCAUUCACUCAACCUUCUUGGUAUCCAAAAAUUCUUUCGAAAAUGGGUAGUCUAUAUAACCCUUAGGACUCAUCUUUGUAUAAAAAGUUGCGCGGUCCCAUUUGUUUAAGGGAAGGUUAUACUUGAGUCGGAAUGGGAGAUCUGGAUUUGAUAGAAAAUACCUCCCGAACGCUACUAAAGUGUUUUCUUGUUCAGCCAUUUGUAUGGCCGAGUCUCGGUCAUGUCCACCUGCAGUGAUAAAUGGAUCCCCCCAAAGGUUUUUGUAGAUCAAUGUAUUCUUUUCUUGCGUUAUAUGCACAUGCCCAUUCCAGUAUUGCCUAGGUUCGAUAGCAUGUAAAUAGGCCAAAUUAGGAAACCUCUCCUUUAUUUUUUUUAUCAUAAACACGUGUGCCUCAAAAGAAUCCUUGUCUUUCCAAAUAUCUGAAAACGGAGAAAUCCUAUAUCCAACGCGCUCUUGACCUAUGGCAUUCACGACAGACUCUAGAAGUUCAAGGCAAAAUCUAGCACGAUUUUCUAAAGACCCACAAUAUUCCGGAUCACAUUUGUCACCAUAGCCGUUUAGUACAAAUUUGUCCAAAAGAAAUCCAUUCACUUGAUGAACUUCAACACCAUCUGCACCACAACCGAAAACAGCUCGUUUCGCUGCUUCAGUAUACGUUGUGAUGUGUUCCUGUAUAUCUUGUUUUGUCAUAAAUUUAUCGACAUACAGCUCCUCUCCACAAAUAGAGUAGGCACUGCCUAGAGCAGCAGGCAAUCCGGUAGGAUCCAUUGGGCAUUCCCCUUGUGUAACUUUUUCCAACCUUUCCUGAUCUUCAAGAUAAUCGACCUUUAGCUCUCCAGGAAGGUUCCAAAACUGUAUAAACACAAAGCAAUCAUUGUCAUGGAUCGCCUGUACAAUUGGUUUCCAAGCUUCUACAUGUUCAUCGUUGUACAAGCAAGGGAUAUUACUAAAGCCUCCCGACUUUGCGCCUGAAAAUAAUGAUUCUGUAAUGAGUAAUGUGCCAGGAAUCGAACUGCGUUGCUUGUAGUAUUCCUUCACAAGAUCUGUCAUUACAAGGCCAUUAUCUAAGCAUCGUAGACGGGUAGCCGGUGCGUGAACCAUUCGAUGUUGAAGUUGCAUGUUACCAACCUUAAUGGGCUGAAACAAUUUACUCUGCGAUUCAUAUAACUUUUGAACAGCCAUCCUGGUGUGUAUCAAAGAAAAGAGCAGACCUGAUGGAGAAUUUUGAUCAAAAAAAAUUUAUUAGGUAGCGCUAAAGACGAAAAUACCUUGAAUAUCAAAAGGAAAAUAAUAAAAUUGAAAACUUCACAAAAGAAGUGAAGAUCUUAUAAAUCUUUUUGUGUAUGAAGUUUAGGAGGAAUUGAAAUAGAUGAACGGACUUGUAGCCCUGUAGCAGAGUUACCACGUGCGUGGAUCAAUCAAUAGGCAUGCAGCCGCACCAAUAGCACUACUAUAUUAUUCGCAGGAGUGAGAUUGGGAAAUGAUUAAAACAAUUGGAUUGAUUGACCUUGAAGGAAUACAGAAAAAUCGAGAAUGCGCCUAAAUUUUUUCAUUUACAGAUACUUGUCAGCUUAGCCUUUUGUCAAUGAUCUCCAAUAUCGGUAUUUCGCAGUUGUGUUUACCAACUGACGAUUCAUCAUAAGAAUUCAAAUAAUGAGUUUACAGACAUGAAGCUGAUCAACAUAUUUCUGUAUGACUAUGAAACACACUAGCACAAUUCAAAUAGAGGGAUUAUUGCAAAGUGGAUUGAUGCGAAAAUACUCCAAAGUUGUUUCAAGCCGUUUUUUGGUAUACAAACGGAAAAUUAGCAAUUUCAAUGAUUUUUGUACUUAAAAAUGUUAUACAUUCGACAUGAAUAUGAGUAACAAGAGAGCAGUAAAAUAAG
This is a non-coding RNA of Schizosaccharomyces pombe (fission yeast), 2199 nucleotides long. NCBI's taxonomy places the organism in Eukaryota, Fungi, Ascomycota, Schizosaccharomycetes, Schizosaccharomycetales, Schizosaccharomycetaceae. The record is from the annotation of a GenBank genome assembly.